CUGCAGCCAAUGAAGCCAACGGUGCUGUUUCCACAUAUGGGGGCCUGGUGUGCCACGACUGCAAACAGUAGCUUCUUUGGUAGUGUAUGAAGCCUGUUGCUUAUAGGGCUUGCCCCAGGGGACCUUGGAGACAGAG
RNAcentral lists this small nucleolar RNA (136 nucleotides) under Zalophus californianus (California sea lion). Its description in RNAcentral is "Small nucleolar RNA SNORA70 (ENSZCAG00015011682.1)". It matches the Rfam family "Small nucleolar RNA SNORA70". Rfam says of the family: snoRNA U70 seems to be exclusive to mammals and is a member of the H/ACA class of snoRNA which contain H (ANANNA) and ACA box motifs. Lineage: Eukaryota; Metazoa; Chordata; Mammalia; Carnivora; Otariidae. The record is from RNAcentral.